RNAcentral lists this ribosomal RNA (406 nucleotides) under uncultured bacterium. RNAcentral's name for it is "partial 16S ribosomal RNA". It matches the Rfam family "Bacterial small subunit ribosomal RNA", at positions 29 to 526 of the family's 1533-position model. The record is from RNAcentral.
AUUGAACGCUGGCGGCAGGCUUAACACAUGCAAGUCGAGCGAGCGGCGGACGGGUGAGUAAUGUCUGGGAAACUGCCUGAUGGAGGGGGAUAACUACUGGAAACGGUAGCUAAUACCGCAUACCAUCAGAUGUGCCCAGAUGUGAUUAGCUAGUAGGGGGGGUAAUGGCUCACCAAGGCGAAGAUCCCUAGCUGGGCGUCGAGGAUGACCAGCGACACUGGAACUGAGACACGGUACAGACUACUACGGGAGGCAGCAGUGGGGAAUAUUGCACAAUGGGCGCAAGCCUGAUGCAGCCAUGCCGCGGUUGUGAAGAAGGCCUGCGGGUUGUAAAGCACUUUCAGCGAGGAGGCGUGACUCGCAGAAGAAGCACCGGCUAACUCCGUGCCAGCAGCCGCGGUAAUAC